UUCCAGAGUACGGCCAGACACGUGAAACCUGGUCGGAAGAUGGGGGGACCACCCUCCAACCCUAAAUACUACCCAGUGACCGAUAGCGUAUAGUACUGUGAAGGAAAGGUGAAAAGCACCCCGGGAGGGGAGUGAAAAAGAACCUGAAACCCUGUGCCUACAAGCACCUAGAGCACGUCAAUGUGUGAUAGGGUACUUUUUGUAGAACGGUCCGGCGAGCGAUUGUAUGCAGCAAGGUUAAGGACUUAAGGUCUGGAGCCGAAGCGAAAGCGAGUUUGAAAAGGGCGUUAAGUUGCAUAUAAUGGGCCCGAAACCGGGUGACCUACCCAUGGUCAGGUUGAAGUGGAAGUAAAAUUCCAUGGAGGACCGAACCGACCUCCGUUGAAAAGGCGGCGGAUGAACUGUGGGUAGCGGAGAAAUUCCAAUCGAACCCGGAGAUAGCUGGUUCUCCCCGAAAUAGUUUUAGGACUAGCCUCAAGUUAGAUACCUGGAGGUAAAGCACUGAAUAGCCUAGCGGCCGAGAGGUUAGCGAAGCUUAUCAAACUCAGAAUGCCAGAGUAUUGAUGCUUGGGAGUCAGACAGUGUCAGAUAAAUGUCAUUGUCAAAAGGGAAACAGCCCAGAUCUACAGCUAAGGUCCCAAAGUCAGGUUAAGUGGAAAACGAUGUGAAGAUACGCAGACAACCAGGAUGUUGGCUCAGAAGCAGCCACUCAUUCAAAGAGUGCGUAAUAGCUCACUGGUCGAGCGUCUUUGCGCGGAGAAUUUAACGGGGCUAAACCUGACACCGAAGCUUAGGCAAUCCAGCAAUGGAUUGGGUAGGGGAGCGUUGUAUACGCGGAGAAACAGUAGCGUAAGCGGCUGUGGAGUGUAUAGAAGUGAGAAUGCCGGAAUGAGUAGCGCGAAUGCAGUGAGAAUCUGCAUGGCCGAAAGCCUCAGGUUUUUGGAGGAAGGUUCGUCCGCUCCAAGUUAGUCGGGAGCUAAGGUGAGGCCGGAAGGCGUAGCCGAUGCACAGACGGUAGAGAUUCCGUCACCACCAAAAGAGUUAAGCACAGGGACACAUUUGAAGUCUCAGAGCCGGGUGUUGGUUCCGGUAGAGAUCGAGGGAAAUUAGUACCGAAGUCUGGGAUGGAAGAUGGCGAGAAAAGCUGUGUGUAUUUCUGAGGUGCCCGUACCGCAAACCGACACAGGUAGGUAGGAAGAAGAUUCUAAGGCCAACGGGAGAAGGGUUGUUAAGGAACUCGGCAAAUUGACCCCGUAACUUCGGGAGAAGGGGUGCUCCAGAGAUGGAGCCGCAGAGAAUCGGCCCAAGCAACUGUUUACCAAAAACACAGGUUUGUGCUAAAUCGAAAGAUGACGUAUACGAGCUGACGCCUGCCCGGUGCUGGAAGGUUAAGAGGAGAUGUGCAAGCAUUGAAUCGAAGCCCCAGUGAACGGCGGCCGUAACUAUAACGGUCCUAAGGUAGCGAAAUUCCUUGUCAGGUAAGUUCUGACCCGCAUGAAAGGCGUAAUGAUUUGGGCACUGUCUCAACAGCCCGCCCGGCGAAAUUGUAGUACCGGUGAAGAUGCCGGUUACCCGCGACAAGACGGAAAGACCCCAUGGAGCUUUACUGUAGCCUAAUAUUGGGUUUCGAUGUUGCAUGCACAGGAUAGAUGGGACACUGGGAAACAAUCGCUUUGGCGGUUGCGGAGUGGCCGUUGGGAUACCAUCCUUGCGAUAUUGGAAUUCUAACCUGCGGCUCUGAAUCGAGUCGGGGGACAUUGUUAGGUGGGCAGUUUGACUGGGGCGGUCGCCUCCUAAAAAGUAACGGAGGCGUUCAAAGGUUCGCUCAGCUUGAACGGAAAUCAAGCAAAAGAGUGCAAACGCAGAAGCGAGCCUAACUGCGAGACUGACGGGUCGAGCAGUAACGAAAGUUGGAGUUAGUGAUCCGGUGGUAUGUGAGUGGAAAUGCCAUCGCUCAACGGAUAAAAG
This 1968-nucleotide ribosomal RNA is filed under the name human gut metagenome. RNAcentral's name for it is "bacterial LSU rRNA". It matches the Rfam family "Bacterial large subunit ribosomal RNA", at positions 405 to 2462 of the family's 2925-position model. The record is from RNAcentral.